This 74-nucleotide transfer RNA is filed under the name Caudoviricetes sp. RNAcentral describes it as "tRNA-OTHER". Lineage: Duplodnaviria; Heunggongvirae; Uroviricota; Caudoviricetes. The record is from RNAcentral.
GCGGGCGGAAGCUGGGAGGAAUCAACUCCGAUAGUAAAAUUUCGGGUUCGCAGGUUCGAAUCCUGUCGCCUGCA